Molecule: long non-coding RNA, 270 nt
Filed under: Hordeum vulgare
Lineage: Eukaryota; Viridiplantae; Streptophyta; Magnoliopsida; Poales; Poaceae
Description: long non-coding RNA (HVUL_LNC019864)
Source: RNAcentral
AAAAUCUCAGGACCGGCCGUGACUACGAAGGUCUCGCCGGACCAAUUGGUCGGUCCCCGGCGCGGCGACGAUUGGAUCCAGCAAGGGGCAGCAAGGACCCGGUCGCAUUUUCACUUUUCUUAGUGGGGUCUUUUUUGCAAAAUGCAGGGACUUGUUUGUAUUUACUAGUUUCUUCGGGGUCUUUGCUGUUCCACCGCUUUAAUCAAUGCAAUGCUGUGUCCUUCGGGGCCCUUCUAAUGUUCAAAAAAAAGAUGUGCAAUUUUAGGGGCU